This is an RNA transcript of Apis mellifera (honey bee), 1944 nucleotides long. RefSeq lists it as uncharacterized. The transcript has 10 exons. The record is from RefSeq and is a predicted model, not a curated record. NCBI's taxonomy places the organism in Eukaryota, Metazoa, Arthropoda, Insecta, Hymenoptera, Apidae.
UAACGCAAGCGUAUCAAACAAAACUGCAGCGAACAAGAGUGCAUUCAAGUAUGCGAUUGACAGAUGCUCGAAUCUACGAUACAUUAUAUUUGGAAGAGAUGAAUCGUGUUUGAUAUUUCCACAUUUUUCUAUGAAGGAUAACCUUUUGUUCCUAUUAUCCUUCACGUAUCACGUGAAAAUUAAAUAUCGAUAUUUGGACGCUUAUAUCAGUUAGAUGACGGCGAUACGCCGUGUGUUAACAGGUCAUGGGGGCCUGUUUCGGCCGCUGUAUUUCCAAAGUUACAGACUCCUUGUCAUACAGGUUUUAUCAAAGACAUACCAGUAUGUCCUACCAAGGAGACGAACAAGUUGAGUUUAUAGAUGACAAAGGAGGUACAGAUCAAUCUAGAGGAUCAAAAACCCUAUUAUCGUUUCUCUCCUUAAACCGAUUUAAGAAAAAAAAUGGAAUCCCUGUAACAUUGGAAUUAUUAGAAGAUGGAGCAUGGUCAAAGGGUAAAACUAAUAAAUAUGCCAGAUUAAACUCUAGGAAUGAUGCUUCUACAAGUUCUGGAUUGGAUACACCAUUACAAAUUCUUGAUGCAAGAACAUUAAUGAAACAACAAGCAUGUGUUUCUUCUACUCCUGGUUCAUCAUUAGAUCUGGAAUGGGAACAUGAAGGAAUGCCUUUGCCAAUUAUGGAUGAUGAAAAAGUUGAAAGUACAGAUGGUUCUAUGACACAAACAUCAGUCAAUAAUAGUCAACCCUCUAGUUUGACAGCAUCUCCUUGGUCUAGAGUAUCAACACCAAAUAGUUUAGAAUGGGAUCCGGUAGAAGCGGAUAUGAAUAAACUAGAAUGGAAAAGAAAUGUGGCAACCGAGGGAAACGUGAUUAUCGUGCGAGCAGAAAAUGGAUAAAGUCGAGUUUUAGUUUAAAAGAGGACAAGCGGAUUUUUGGUUACAUAAUCCUGAAUCACCAUUAUCGUGUCACCCUCGUCGUAACGCAGCUGAAAUGACCAUCACAAUAUCGAACAGCAGUAACAGAUAAUAUACACAUUAUGUAUAUUAACUUUACCAAUAGAUCUUCGAUUUUUAUUUUAUUUUCAUCUUCACUUGAUCGUAAUCCUUGCACGCCGCUAUCUAUGUUUGGCUGCCGGAAGUGGUCUUACUCUAUCAUACUUUCCGUUCUCCUAAUAUCUACGGACUUUUUUGUAAAUCCAACGUGACUUUCCAUUGCGUGACAAUGAGAGCUUUUCGUCGCGGUAUCCGCCCAUCUUCUCAUUCACUUUUUCAUCGAUCCCUAAAGAGAGGAGGUAGAAAAAACAGCGAAAACGACGAGAAAGAUCCGCGACUCGAUCGCGAAACCUUAUUUAUUACUAGAAAUAUUACAUGAUAAGGAGAGCGUGGCACAGUUUUGACGCUACAAUUGUUCACAGGGCUGGCCACGAUCGAAGAAAAUGGGGACGCGACGAAAAGCGCGGGAACCGCUUCAACGAAUGAAGGAGGAAGGAAUCGGGGAGUCAUAAACACUGGAAAAAUGUUUAAAAGAACUAAAUAGCACAACUAGCAACAGGAAGCAAUUAAUUUAAAAAGCGAAAUGAGAAAACAUUAAAAUCAUAUUUUUGCGAUACACGGAUUCUUAAAAAACAGCAAAUUUUAAAAAGAAAGAAGUCGAUACACAGCUAUAAUUAUAUUAACGAGGGGUAAGUGGUCUUCGCGCGAAGAGGCCGCAAGAAUCAUAAAGGAAUUAUAGUUUGGCACUGAUACCCGUCAGCUUGAACUUAACACGUUCGCACAGCUGGAGAGAACCAGCAUUGGGAAGUCACGUAUUCCUAUUCGAUCCUAUUGCUGAUGGACUUUAUGGCACAUCGAAUAUCUUCCUUAAAAUCCUUUGAUUCCAUUUCGAAACUAUGGCCUUGGUCUCUUUGCCUUAUGCAUCCAGCAUACCUUCGAUAAAAAGAAAGGAAAA